This 467-nucleotide ribosomal RNA is filed under the name uncultured bacterium. RNAcentral describes it as "partial 16S ribosomal RNA". It matches the Rfam family "Bacterial small subunit ribosomal RNA", at positions 28 to 507 of the family's 1533-position model. The record is from RNAcentral.
GACGAACGCUGGCGGCGUGCUUAACACAUGCAAGUCGAACGGAAAGGCCUCAGCUUGCUGGGGUACUCGAGUGGCGAACGGGUGAGUAACACGUGGGUGAUCUGCCUUGCACUCUGGGAUAAGCUUGGGAAACUGGGUCUAAUACCGGAUAUGAACUGCCUUUAGUGUGGUGGUUGGAAAGUUUUUUCGGUGCAAGAUGAGCUCGCGGCCUAUCAGCUUGUUGGUGGGGUAAUGGCCUACCAAGGCGUCGACGGGUAGCCGGCCUGAGAGGGUGUACGGCCACAUUGGGACUGAGAUACGGCCCAGACUCCUACGGGAGGUAGCAGUGGGGAAUAUUGCACAAUGGGCGGAAGCCUGAUGCAGCGACGCCGCGUGGGGGAUGACGGCCUUCGGGUUGUAAACUCCUUUCGACAGGGACGAAGCUUUUUGUGACGGUACCUGUAUAAGAAGCACCGGCUAACUACGUG